Molecule: long non-coding RNA, 442 nt
Organism: Lutra lutra (Eurasian river otter)
Lineage: Eukaryota; Metazoa; Chordata; Mammalia; Carnivora; Mustelidae
Exons: 2
Source: RefSeq, a predicted model, not a curated record
AGCGGAGCCAGAGAGAGAGAGAAAAGGAGAGAAAAGUUUCCCAGAGUCUUCAUUAGUUGACUUCUCUGUCCACUGCUUCCCCCAGCCGGCGGAGCUCACCCCCAAUAAAGGAAGGAAGGGGGUCUUUAUUUUUUUUUUUAAGGCCCCAAAGAAUCCAGUGUUUACAAGACUAGAAAUGCUACAGCCAUGUCCUGGCAGAAAGGCUGAAAUGGAGGACCGAAGCCUUCCUUAUAAGCUCACUGGGGCCUGAGCCAGCACCAACCCAGUAGAAAAAGCAACCAUGAAGCCAGAGAGGGAAGAGAGCUCCAGACAGAGAUGAAAAGGAACGAUGCGGAGUAAUGCAGAGAAAGGAGGAGGCAGCAGGUCUCAGAACAAGCAAAUGUGGCAGAGAGCAAGACAGGCACUCACAGACAGAGGUUUAUACAUUUUUAUUUACAAUUUU